This 253-nucleotide ribosomal RNA is filed under the name uncultured bacterium. Its description in RNAcentral is "partial 16S ribosomal RNA". It matches the Rfam family "Bacterial small subunit ribosomal RNA", at positions 524 to 776 of the family's 1533-position model. The record is from RNAcentral.
UACAGAGGUGGCAAGCGUUGUUCGGAAUUACUGGGCGUAAAGGGCGCGUAGGCGGCCUACUAAGUCAGACGUGAGAUCCCCCGGCUUAACCUGGGAACUGCGUCUGAUACUGGAAGGCUUGAGUAUGGGAGAGGGAUGUAGAAUUCCAGGUGUAGCGGUGAAAUGCGUAGAUAUCUGGAGGAAUACCGGUGGCGAAGGCGGCAUCCUGGACCAUUACUGACGCUGAGGCGCGAAAGCUAGGGGAGCAAACGGG